RNAcentral lists this long non-coding RNA (1422 nucleotides) under Fragaria vesca (wild strawberry). RNAcentral describes it as "long non-coding RNA (FVES_LNC000670)". The record is from RNAcentral. Lineage: Eukaryota; Viridiplantae; Streptophyta; Magnoliopsida; Rosales; Rosaceae.
CUCUAGCUUCUGGGUCAGGACUGGAGUUUGGAUAGUUAAUUGCAGAGAGGUCAAUUAAUGGUAUCCCUUCAGCUUCGAUAUUGGAGAGUUUGGGCCUGUGUUCAGGGUCUUGCAUGAAAGCUGGGUCAACUUCUCCCAUGGCUGGUGAGUAAGAAAUGAUGUCUUUGUCUAUGAAAAGCUUGUGGAAGAAACAGGAAUGAUCGAUUGGCUUUAUAAUGUGAGAAACUUUAGUUUGGGCGGCAGAUGUUGAUGCCUUUUGGUGCGGCAGAUAGUAAUCACUACAACUAGUAAUGCUCGGUUGGCCUCAUCACUAGCCAAUUAAUCAGUGACCAGGUACACAACUCAUUCUCUCUCUUUAUGAGCUCAUUACAAAGAUUUUUUGUCUGUUACAUCAUUUUAAAUUACAUUGAUGGAACCAAAUCACCUGCACAUUUGUCUUCAUCUUGUUAAUGUAGUUCAAACUAAAAUGUAUGACAGAGAAAUCUAUGACUAUUUCUUACUUCACUGGAAAUCUUUUCAUAGUUUGUUAUUCUGGUUUCUUGUUCUGCUAAUAAAUCAUCUGAUUUGUUUAUUAAAUCAUGUUAGAUAUCUAAUUCGACUUUUUUGGCAUUACUAAUAUGAACCUGUGCAGGUUAACCCACAUAUUUUGAGAACUGAAGUUGAUUAGAAUUCUUCUAUUAUUAACCCGAACUGUUUGCUGACCAUUCCAUUAAUCAACAAAAUUUUAGUGGAUCUGUACUUUGUUUUCCUGAAAUUAUUUUCCCUAUUUUCUCUUACCACCUUUGAGAGUAACUAGCUGUAGUUACUGACUGCACUAGUGCACCCUUUUGACACUCUCUACCUCAUAUUUUCAAAGUUUUUUUUGUUCUCUGCUUUUCCAGAAGAUAAGAGAUAUUUCCUAUCUUCUAUUUUUGUAUAAUCAUUUAGUUGCAGUGUUGCACAAAUCAACUUAAUAAUGUCUAAUAAGUUGGAAUAGAUAGUCUAAAAAUGGUUCUUUUAAAUGUGUAUAAAGCUUUCAGCAAAGGCAUGGCUUUGUAGUCCAUGUUAUUGGCUUAUUGCUAAUCCCACACACAAAACAGACCAUGUUUCCAAAGUUUCUUGCUACCUUGUCCAGAAACACAUCAUUUUCUGGACUUGAUACACCGCAUGGUAUGAACAGGAAGCUAAAAUAACAUUAUCAUCACUCUAAAACUUGAAAUCAUAUAUUUGAAUGUUGUCAACACCAAGCUUCUUGAAAUUACUGAGCCUUCUGUGUGUCAUAAACUUUCCCCAGCUGUAGGGCCUGUACUUGGCAGGGUUUUGCUCAUCGAUCAGCUCGUCCACAGGUUUCACCAGUGUGUAAUGUGCUGGAUUGAAGAAGAAAGGAAUGGAAAACCUUUCCUUCUCUGCGUUCACCAUCACCCUGUGCUCAACACUUUCAUA